This 536-nucleotide ribosomal RNA is filed under the name uncultured bacterium. Its description in RNAcentral is "bacterial SSU rRNA". It matches the Rfam family "Archaeal small subunit ribosomal RNA", at positions 724 to 1257 of the family's 1478-position model. The record is from RNAcentral.
AGUGAAUAGAUACCCCGGUAGUCCUAGCCGUAAACGAUACUCGCUAGGUGUCGGCCACGGUGCGACCGUUGUCGGUGCCGUAGGGAAAGCCGUGAAGCGAGCCACCUGGGAAGUACGGCCGCAAGGCUGAAACUUAAAGGAAUUGGCGGGGGAGCACCACAACGGGUGGAGCUUGCGGUUUAAUUGGAUUCAACGCCGGAAAUCUUACCGGGACCGACAGCGAUAUGAAGGCCAGGCUGAAGACUUUGCCGGAUUAGCUGAGAGGUGGUGCAUGGCCGUCGUCAGUUCGUACUGUGAAAGCAUCCUGUUAAGUCAGGCAACGAGCGAGACCCACGCCCACAGUUGCCAGCGUACUCUCCGGAGUGACGGGUACACUGUGGGGACCGCCGCUGCUAAAGCGGAGGAAGGAAUGGGCAACGGUAGGUCAGUAUGCCCCGAAUAUCCCGGGCUACACGCGAGCUACAAUGGUUGGAACAAUGGGUAUCUACCCCGAAAGGGGAUGGAAAUCUCCUAAAUCCAAUCUUAGUUCGGAUUGA